UCUUCGGAGUGAGAGCGUACACAGGUGCUGCAUGGCUGUCGUCAGCUCGUGUCGUGAGAUGUUGGGUUAAGUCCCGCAACGAGCGCAACCCUGCAUUCAGUUGCCAUCGGUAAGGCCGGGCACUCUGGAUGGACUGCCGGCGACAAGCCGGAGGAAGGUGGGGACGACGUCAAGUCAUCAUGGCCCUUAUGUCCAGGGCGACACACGUGCUACAAUGGCCGGCACAACGGGAAGCGAAGGGGCGACCCUGAGCGGAUCCCACAAAAGCCGGUCCCAGUUCGGAUUGCAGUCUGCAACUCGACUGCAUGAAGUUGGAAUCGCUAGUAAUCGUGGAUCAGCCAAGCCGCGGUGAAUACGUUCCCGGGCCUU
Molecule: ribosomal RNA, 369 nt
Filed under: uncultured Thermovirga sp.
Lineage: Bacteria; Thermotogati; Synergistota; Synergistia; Synergistales; Thermovirgaceae
Description: bacterial SSU rRNA
Rfam family: Bacterial small subunit ribosomal RNA
Source: RNAcentral